Molecule: long non-coding RNA, 693 nt
Organism: Lontra canadensis (Northern American river otter)
Lineage: Eukaryota; Metazoa; Chordata; Mammalia; Carnivora; Mustelidae
Exons: 4
Source: RefSeq, a predicted model, not a curated record
GGACGGGCUCUGGGCUUCAACUUGGCUGUCCUGGAGCGGCUUCUCCCUCUUGCGGUCGCAGGCGAGGCGGAGCUGUGUUUCCACACUCAGAACCGCAUAACAAGAGAAAAACAAUCUUGUUUGGCUGGACAACAUGGAAGAAUGAAUAAAAGGAGAGAAUAAGCUGCAAAUCCAAAGCCUUGAGGAGAGAGAGAGCAUGACUGAAAGGAAUAGAGAAUGGAACUGUUAGAUGAGAUGUCAUGUCAUAAAGAAAACAAGCAUUUUCCUUGUAAGGACGUAUCAACCACCAGCAAAGUGCUGAGAGCUUCCAAAUCUGUACCAUUAGUGCAGAUAUCUUUUCUGGGAUUCAGGACUGCCUAAACCCCACAUCUAGCUUUCAGUGAUCCAUCUGCUUAACUCCAUUUGUCUUGCUGUUAGCUUUCCUCAUGACUUGGACCAAACUCUGGGGAGAGCAAUGGCAUUCACUUUGCCUAAUAGAAUUGUGAAUAGACUCUUUAAUAUUCCAGGCACUUUCAGUUAUUAGAACUGUUCUAUUUCAGCCUUUAACAUCUCAGUCUUGCAUAUUUUAAGACUUCCCUCUCAAACUCUAUUCAAAGCUCUCUCUUUUCUUAAAAGCACAGCUAGGACUAUCUGGUUGGUCUUCAGUAACUUAGAACAAAGUUUCCACAUCCAACUUCCUCUUCUAGGUACUAG